UGAAUACGAGAUGCUACGGCGUCGAAGCAGUCUAUGUCAUACUUCCAAGAAAAGCUUGCACUGUCAUAAACAAAUAAUGCCUGUACCAUAACCGACACAGGUGGGUAGGUAGAGUAUACUAAGGGGCGCGAGAUAACUCUCUCUAAGGAACUCGGCAAAAUGACACCGUAACUUCGGGAGAAGGAGUGCCUUAUUUAUAAGGUUGCAAUAACAAGAUCCAAGCAACUGUUUACCAAAAACACAGGUCUCCGCUAAGUCGUAAGACGAUGUAUGGGGGCUGACGCCUGCCCAGUGCCAGAAGGUUAAAGAAGUUGGUUAGCAUCCGCGAAGCUGAUAACUGAAGCCCUGGUGAACGGCGGCCGUAACAAUAACGGUCCUAAGGUAGCGAAAUUCCUUGUCGGGUAAGUUCCGACCCGCACGAAAGGCGUAAUGAUUUGGAUACUGUCUCGGAGAGGGGCUCGGUGAAAUAGACUUGUCUGUGAAGAUGCGGACUACCUGCACCAGGACAGAAAGACCCUAUGAAGCUUUACUGUAACCUGAAAUUGAAAUUGGACUUUACUUGCGCAGUAUAGGUGGGAGGCGUUGAGAAUAUUCUUGCGGGAUUAUUGGAGCCAUCAGUGAGAUACCACUCUUGUAAUGUUAGAUUUCUAACUUUGUAUCAUUAUCUGGUCAAAGAACAGUUUCAGGCGGGCAGUUUGACUGGGGCGGUCGCCUCCUAAACGGUAACGGAGGCGCACAAAGGUUUCCUCUGAACGGGUAGAAAUCGUAUCUAGAGUGUAAAGGCAUAAGGAAGCUUGACUGUGAGACCUACAAGUCGAGCAGGGACGAAAGUCGGUCUUAGUGAUCUGACGGUGCUGAGUGGAAAGGCCGUCACUCAACGGAUAAAAGUUACUCUAAGGAUAACAGGCUGAUCUCCCCCAAGAGUUCACAUCGACGGGGAGGUUUGGCACCUCGAUGUCGGCUCAUCGCAUCCUGGGGCGGUAGUACGUCCCAAGGGUUGGGCUGUUCGCCCAUGAAAGCGGUACGCGAGCUGGGUUCAGAACGUCGUGAGACAGUUCGGUCCAUAUCCGGUGUAGGCGUUAGAAUAUUGAGAGGAGCCUUCUUUAGUACGAGAGGACCGAGAAGGACAUACCUCUGGUGUACCAGUUAUCGUGCCAACGGUAAACGCUGGGUAGCUAUGUGUGGAGUGGAUAACCGCUGAAAGCAUCUAAGUGGGAAGCCCACCUCAAGUUAAGUAUUCUCAUA
This 1245-nucleotide ribosomal RNA is filed under the name metagenome. Its description in RNAcentral is "bacterial LSU rRNA". It matches the Rfam family "Bacterial large subunit ribosomal RNA", at positions 1564 to 2818 of the family's 2925-position model. The record is from RNAcentral.